GCGCCUGUAGCUCAGUCGGAUAGAGCGACCGCCUCCUAAGCGGUAGGCCGGAGGUUCGAAUCCUCUCAGGCGCGCCA
RNAcentral lists this transfer RNA (77 nucleotides) under Neobittarella massiliensis (ex Bilen et al. 2018). Its description in RNAcentral is "tRNA-Arg". It matches the Rfam family "tRNA". Rfam says of the family: Transfer RNA (tRNA) molecules are approximately 80 nucleotides in length. Their secondary structure includes four short double-helical elements and three loops (D, anti-codon, and T loops). Further hydrogen bonds mediate the characteristic L-shaped molecular structure. tRNAs have two regions of fundamental functional importance: the anti-codon, which is responsible for specific mRNA codon recognition, and the 3' end, to which the tRNAs corresponding amino acid is attached (by aminoacyl-tRNA synthetases). tRNAs cope with the degeneracy of the genetic code in two manners: having more than one tRNA (with a specific anti-codon) for a particular amino acid; and 'wobble' base-pairing, i.e. permitting non-standard base-pairing at the 3rd anti-codon position. The record is from RNAcentral. RNAcentral also lists the same sequence under 1 other name. Lineage: Bacteria; Bacillati; Bacillota; Clostridia; Eubacteriales; Oscillospiraceae.